GAUGAACGCUGGCGGCGUGCUUAACACAUGCAAGUCGAGCGGAAAGGCCCUGCUUUUGUGGGGUGCUCGAGUGGCGAACGGGUGAGUAACACGUGAGUAACCUGCCCUUGACUUUGGGAUAACUUCAGGAAACUGGGGCUAAUACCGGAUAGGAGCUCCUGCUGCAUGGUGGGGGUUGGAAAGUUUCGGCGGUUGGGGAUGGACUCGCGGCUUAUCAGCUUGUUGGUGGGGUAGUGGCUUACCAAGGCUUUGACGGGUAGCCGGCCUGAGAGGGUGACCGGCCACAUUGGGACUGAGAUACGGCCCAGACUCCUACGGGAGGCAGCAGUGGGGAAUAUUGCACAAUGGGCGGAAGCCUGAUGCAGCAACGCCGCGUGCGGGAUGACGGCCUUCGGGUUGUAAACCGCUUUCGCCUGUGACGAAGCGUGAGUGACGGUAAUGGGUAAAGAAGCACCGGCUAACUACGUGCCAGCAGCCGCGGUGAUACGUAGGGUGCGAGCGUUGUCCGGAUUUAUUGGGCGUAAAGGGCUCGUAGGUGGUUGAUCGCGUCGGAAGUGUAAUCUUGGGGCUUAACCCUGAGCGUGCUUUCGAUACGGGUUGACUUGAGGAAGGUAGGGGAGAAUGGAAUUCCUGGUGGAGCGGUGGAAUGCGCAGAUAUCAGGAGGAACACCAGUGGCGAAGGCGGUUCUCUGGGCCUUUCCUGACGCUGAGGAGCGAAAGCGUGGGGAGCGAACAGGCUUAGAUACCCUGGUAGUCCACGCUGUAAACGGUGGGUACUAGGUGUGGGGUCCAUUCCACGGGUUCCGUGCCGUAGCUAACGCUUUAAGUACCCCGCCUGGGGAGUACGGCCGCAGGGCUAAAACUCAAAGGAAUUGACGGGGCCCCGCACAAGCGGCGGAGCAUGCGGAUUAAUUCGAUGCAACGCGUAGAACCUUACCUGGGUUUGACAUGGAUCGGGAGUGCUCAGAGAUGGGUGUGCCUCUUUUGGGGUCGGUUCACAGGUGGUGCAUGGCUGUCGUCAGCUCGUGUCGUGAGAUGUUGGGUUAAGUCCCGCAACGAGCGCAACCCUUGUUCACUGUUGCCAGCACGUUAUGGUGGGGACUCAGUGGAGACCGCCGGGGUCAACUCGGAGGAAGGUGGGGAUGACGUCAAGUCAUCAUGCCCCUUAUGUCCAGGGCUUCACGCAUGCUACAAUGGCUGGUACAGAGAGUGGCGAGCCUGUGAGGGUGAGCGAAUCUCGGAAAGCCGGUCUCAGUUCGGAUUGGGGUCUGCAACUCGACCUCAUGAAGUCGGAGUCGCUAGUAAUCGCAGAUCAGCAACGCUGCGGUGAAUACGUUCCCGGGGCU
Molecule: ribosomal RNA, 1346 nt
Filed under: uncultured bacterium
Lineage: Bacteria
Description: partial 16S ribosomal RNA
Rfam family: Bacterial small subunit ribosomal RNA
Source: RNAcentral